This 423-nucleotide long non-coding RNA is filed under the name Bos taurus (domestic cattle). RNAcentral describes it as "long non-coding RNA NONBTAT000056". Lineage: Eukaryota; Metazoa; Chordata; Mammalia; Artiodactyla; Bovidae. The record is from RNAcentral.
AGUCACUUUUACCUGAAUUACCUUUUGUCUCUAAGUUCUUUUUUGUUGGUAGAGAUAUUAGAAAUAUUGCAUUUCCCAAAGUAGGCUUCUUAAAGAAUACAUGCACACUUUAAGUUGCUUUUCUGUAUUAUCUAUAAAACCUGUAAAGCUUUAAAUUGAAAUUUAUUUCCUUGUUAAAAUGCUUUCCUCCACUGCUCAUGUACACAGGCUCAUGGUGUUAAGUUACUCAUGAAUGAUCAGCAGCUGCUGUUAAUUUGUUUUGUGCUUUUUAGAAGCACUGUAUUUUGUAUAUAUAUAUGCGUCUAGUUAUUUUUGCCCAAAAUGACUGUUACUCACUCUUGAUUCACAGUUUCAUAAAGCUCCCGUAAGAAUAAAAAUGUCCAAUUGAAUGCAUUCAGUCUUUUCCCAGUUUCCCAAAUCUUA